UUAAAUCAGGAAACAGGAAACCUUAAUAGGUAACAUGAGUCAUUAACCAUAUGAAUGUGUGUAAACAGGGGAAUAUCUAAUGUCACUUCAGUAAAGCAUACAAUGUCAUAGAGACAUGCUUUCUAUUAUAUCCACAAAUAUUUGAAAGAAUACAUUGUAAAUAUUUAGAACGACAGUAUAAUUAAUAGGAUAUGUUCAAAAAGUGAGGAAAUUCACAGACAGCUUUAGACCCUAGGUUAGGAAAUUUGGAUUUUCAGAGAGAAAGCCACAAUUUCCAGUGAUCUUUCACUCACUGAUGCUUCAAUUUUGCAUGUGUUUACUGAAGACCACGCAUAAGGCACUGUACGUAAAGCUGUGUGGGACACAAGGAACUAU
RNAcentral lists this long non-coding RNA (375 nucleotides) under Pan troglodytes (chimpanzee). Its description in RNAcentral is "long non-coding RNA NONPTRT014434". The record is from RNAcentral. Lineage: Eukaryota; Metazoa; Chordata; Mammalia; Primates; Hominidae.